This 351-nucleotide ribosomal RNA is filed under the name uncultured bacterium. RNAcentral's name for it is "bacterial SSU rRNA". It matches the Rfam family "Bacterial small subunit ribosomal RNA", at positions 8 to 386 of the family's 1533-position model. The record is from RNAcentral.
AGAGUUUGAUCAUGGCUCAGAACGUACGCUGGCGGCACGCCUAACACAUGCAAGUCGAACGAAGUAGCAAUACUUAGUGGCAGACGGGUGAGUAACAUGUAGGUAUCUGCCCUUUGGCCUGGAAUAACACGAGGAAACUUGUGCUAAUACCGGAUAAGUCUUUACGGAGAAAGCUUUAUGCACCAUUGGAUGAGCCUGCACUUGAUUAGUUUGUUGGUGGGGUAAUGNCCUACCAAGACUGUGAUCAAUAGCUGAUUUGAGAGGAUGAUCAGCCACAUUGGGACUGAGACACGGCCCAAACUCCUACGGGAGNCANCAGUGGGGAAUCUUNCACAAUGGAGGGAACUCUGA